Molecule: long non-coding RNA, 2338 nt
Organism: Peromyscus californicus insignis
Lineage: Eukaryota; Metazoa; Chordata; Mammalia; Rodentia; Cricetidae
Exons: 3
Source: RefSeq, a predicted model, not a curated record
GCCUGGAAAUCCUGCCUAGCUAUUGGCCAUUCAGCUUUUUAUUAAACCAGUCAGAGUGACACAUCUUCACAUUGUACAAAAAGAUUAUUCCACAACAGUCUCUUGUAGCUCAGGUUGCCCUGGAACUUGCCAUGAUAUAGCCAAGGAAGCUCCUUAACUCCUGAUCUUAAACCACAGAAGUUCACUACACACUGUGUUCUGAAGCUCCAUACUUUUCUUUCCCUCAUUUCUCCCCUGAGAAAGUGACAUUCAAGCUGUGACCUGAUAGAUAAAGAGUAGGACUAGAAGGGGGUGAGAUGCCCUGUAUUUAUCACCUGAAGUUUUAUACAAAGAGCAAAAAUAUUUAGCCACAAAAAGUGUGUGAUAUUCCAGCAGAACUAGACGGUAAGACCUCACUGCUGAAGACACAACAUGCUUUGGCUGCAGGACCCAGUGAAAUCAAGCUGGCACUGAGCUGGGAGUUUCUUCCUUGCCGACUAGGCCUCGUCACACUGGAAAGUGCUAUGCGGGCUGCUGAGGAAGAAAGAGCGUCAACACUCUUGCUCAGCUGUGGACCCACUACAGACCCACUAGACAAGAUGAGUCCACAAGAUAAAUCUGCCACAGGAUAACCAGUUGCUUUCUGAUGGCCCGUGGGGCCUGCUCCAUAGGAAGGAAUUCAUGUCUGGUGUUGUAAACCUGGUCAAAAGCCCAUGUCUCAGAGGCCACGGGCUAGAGGGGGAGCUACUGCUGUUGGCAGCUGAAUGAGCAUGCUAUGCCUGUCCAAUUGUCUUCUAAACAACUACGCUUAUGCCCAUAAAUUAGUGCGGCUCUCAGCCAAGCUCCUUUUGCAACGGGCAGCUGGUAAUGCAGAGACUAACUGGUCGGCGUGCUGAGAAUCAGUGACCACUGAAUGGUCAGCUACAAACUGGGCAUUUCUAGCACCCUGUCCUUGACUCAGGGAGCACUGCGGAGGACAUGGCAGAAAGAACUGGAGAGUCAGAGGGAGGAGCAGAUGGUUUUAAACACUGUCUUCAGGGCGUGAACACAGCCCCUGCACUUCUGAACUCUCAGCAAGCGUGAGUGCUGACACAAGCAUGCACAAACAUGGUCCACCCAAGUCCUCUCUUGAAGCACGAGGAAGCUCACAACGUCCCACCCACCCUGAGAACCUACAGGCAGCUAAUAGUCAUUGGGUGAGCGAGAGACACUUUUUUCAGUGGUGUAGCGACUGGUAAGUUGCCUGUGUUCCUUCCUAAAAACAACCACUCACCUAUGCCCCCAUAAGUAACCCUAGUGAAACUCACCAGGACACACGUGCACCCGCACAUGCACACACAUGCAUCCCAAAAACCGUGAGAGGGGGACACCAGCUGGGAAGAGGAAGGAGAUCAGCGGGAGGACAGAGAGGGAAUUAAGGGACACAUGAUCAAAACAUAUUUUAUUCACGUAGGAAAGUGUCGUAAUGAAACCCAUCACUAAGUCAAUUGAUAUAUGCUAAUUAAAAAACUUUGAGAAAAAGAAAACCACCCUCCAAAAGUGUGAAGGCUCUUGCUGAGAAUACUCCUCCGUUCUCUGUCUUUUCUUUCAGACUUGGUCUGAGCAGAGGCAGCCCAGGACUGAGGUGCACUCUGGGGGAGGUGGUUUGAAUGGUGUGGUUAUUUUCUCUGGGUGAGACUUAGACCUUGGUGCCAGGGAUCUGAGGGUUUCAUGGCAACAACUGCCAGGGCUCCUGGGAAAGUCCCCAGGCAUCUAGAGCCCUGCAGUCUUGGCAGCCCCUGUUCCCCAAAUGGACACGGCAUCAGUCAAGGCCAAGAACCCAGCAAACAGCUGGCGAGCUAUUUUUAAAAUCCAGUGUAAAGUCAUAUACGUAUAAGCCCCAGUGGAUUUCCCUGGGGGAAAUCUCGUCCCUCGAGUAGAAAAUGCUUGAAGUCAAAUAAGGAAAUCUCUAUUUUGAUUCCCAGCAAGGCCAAGUGCAGGGCCCUGCUGCCUACAGCAGCCUGAAGUAACAAAUUGGACUGAUAUAUCUAGAGAAGGAUGUCUUCUCUGUUCCCCCCACACUGGGCACUUCCCACCGCUCCUGCCUCAUACUCGCCUGAACGUAAGACCAGGCGUAGAGAGCCAUACGCCUGUGAUCUCAGCACAUCAGGAGACCAGGAGCUCAAGAUCAUCUACGUGGAGUUUAAGGACACUAAUUACGAAAUCAGAAAUCUCAUCCUUCCUCCAGAACAGGAUGGCCAUGUGCCUCUCUGUUAGUGAAGAGCUCUCGAUUUUAUUAUUGCAAGGCUGCUCACAAAGUCAAGGUAGGACCUCUUUUCACUGGUCUUGUCGGAUCUCCGAGGUUCAUCUCCCUACUUGU